This 301-nucleotide ribosomal RNA is filed under the name uncultured bacterium. RNAcentral describes it as "partial 16S ribosomal RNA". It matches the Rfam family "Bacterial small subunit ribosomal RNA", at positions 509 to 807 of the family's 1533-position model. The record is from RNAcentral.
CAGUAGCCGCGGUAAUACGUAGGGUGCAAGCGUUAAUCGGAAUUACUGGGCGUAAAGCGUGCGCAGGCGGUCCGCUAAGACAGAUGUGAAAUCCCCGGGCUUAACCUGAGGACUGCAUUUGUGACUGGCGGGCUAGAGUAUGGCAGAGGGGGGUAGAAUUCCGCGUGUAGCAGUGAAAUGCGUAGAUAUGCGGAGGAACACCGAUGGCGAAGGCAAUCCCCUGGGCCUGUACUGACGCUCAUGCACGAAAGCGUGGGGAGCAAACAGGAUUAGAUACCCCGGUAGUCCCUGUCUCUUAUAC